RNAcentral lists this ribosomal RNA (1004 nucleotides) under uncultured Clostridium sp. RNAcentral's name for it is "bacterial SSU rRNA". It matches the Rfam family "Bacterial small subunit ribosomal RNA", at positions 11 to 1031 of the family's 1533-position model. Lineage: Bacteria; Bacillati; Bacillota; Clostridia; Eubacteriales; Clostridiaceae. The record is from RNAcentral.
GUUUGAUCCUGGCUCAGGACGAACGCUGGCGGCGUGCCUAACACAUGCAAGUCGAGCGAAGAAGCCCCUUCGGGGGUGGAUUAGCGGCGGACGGGUGAGUAACACGUGGGUAACCUGGCUCAAAGAGGGGGAUAGCCUCCCGAAAGGGUGAUUAAUACCGCAUAAAAGGUAAAUAUCGCAUGGUAAAUACCUUAAAGGAGAAAUCCGCUUUGAGAUGGGCCCGCGUCGCAUUAGCUAGUUGGAGGGAUAAAAGCCCCCCAAGGCGACGAUGCGUAGCCGACCUGAGAGGGUGAACGGCCACAUUGGAACUGAGAUACGGUCCAGACUCCUACGGGAGGCAGCAGUGGGGAAUAUUGCACAAUGGGGGAAACCCUGAUGCAGCAACGCCGCGUGAGUGAAGAAGGUUUUCGGAUCGUAAAGCUCUGUCAUCCGGGACGAUAAUGACGGUACCGGAAGAGGAAGCCACGGCUAACUACGUGCCAGCAGCCGCGGUAAUACGUAGGUGGCGAGCGUUGUCCGGAAUUACUGGGCGUAAAGGGUGUGCAGGCGGAUAUUUAAGUGAGAUGUGAAAGACCCGGGCUUAACCCGGGCAGUGCAUUUCAAACUGGAUAUCUAGAGUGCAGGAGAGGAGAACGGAAUUCCUAGUGUAGCGGUGAAAUGCGUAGAGAUUAGGAAGAACACCAGUGGCGAAGGCGGUUCUCUGGACUGUAACUGACGCUGAGGCACGAAAGCGUGGGUAGCAAACAGGAUUAGAUACCCUGGUAGUCCACGCUGUAAACGAUGAGUACUANGUGUANGGGGGUAUCGACCCCCCCUGUGCCGCAGUAAACACAAUAAGUACUCCGCCUGGGAAGUACGAUCGCAAGAUUAAAACUCAAAGGAAUUGACGGGGACCCGCACAAGCAGCGGAGCAUGUGGUUUAAUUCAAGGNCAUGCGAAGAACCUUACCUGGACUUGACAUCCCCCUGAAUACUUUUGUAUGGAGGAAGCCCUUCGGGGCAGGG